UGGGGAAUAUUGCACAAUGGGCGCAAGCCUGAUGCAGCCAUGCCGCGUGUGUGAAGAAGGCCUUCGGGUUGUAAAGUACUUUCAGCGGGGAGGACGGGAGUAAAGUUAAUACCUUUGCCCAUUGACGUUACCCGCAGAAGAAGCACCGGCUAACUCCGUGCCAGCAGCCGCGGUAACACGGAGGGUGCAAGCGAUAAUCGGAAUUACUGGGCGUAAAGCGCACGCAGGCGGUUUGUUAAGUCAGAUGUGAAAUCCCCGGGCUCAACCUGGGAACUGCAUCUGAGACUGGCAAGCUGGAGUCUCGUAGAGGGGGGUAGAAUUCCAGGUGUAGCGGUGAAAUGCGUGGAGAUCUGGAGGAAUACCUGUGGCGAAGGCGGCCCCCUGGACGAAGACUGACGCUCAGGUGCGAAAGCGUGGGGAGCAAACAGG
Molecule: ribosomal RNA, 429 nt
Filed under: Chloroflexota bacterium
Lineage: Bacteria; Bacillati; Chloroflexota
Description: Chloroflexi bacterium partial 16S ribosomal RNA
Rfam family: Bacterial small subunit ribosomal RNA
Source: RNAcentral